GUAGGUAUAGUUUAACCAAAAUAUUAGAUUGUGAUUCUAAAGACAGGGGUUAAAACCCCCUUAUCCACC
This 69-nucleotide transfer RNA is filed under the name Podothecus sachi (tokubire). RNAcentral's name for it is "tRNA-His". It matches the Rfam family "tRNA". From Rfam's summary of the family: Transfer RNA (tRNA) molecules are approximately 80 nucleotides in length. Their secondary structure includes four short double-helical elements and three loops (D, anti-codon, and T loops). Lineage: Eukaryota; Metazoa; Chordata; Actinopteri; Perciformes; Agonidae. The record is from RNAcentral.